GACGAACGCGGCGGCGUGCCUAAUACAUGCAAGUCGAACGAACCGCGACUGAGUGCUUGCACUUGGUCAAGGUGAGUGGCGAACGGGUGAGUAACACGUGGGUAACCUACCUCAUAGUGGGGGAUAACAGUCGGAAACGACUGCUAAUACCGCAUAGGACAUGGAAUCACAUGAUUCUGUGAGGAAAGGUGGCGCAAGCUAUCGCUAAGAGAUGGACCCGCGGUGCAUUAGCUAGUUGGUAGGGUAACGGCCUACCAAGGCGAUGAUGCAUAGCCGACCUGAGAGGGUGAUCGGCCACAUUGGGACUGAGACACGGCCCAAACUCCUACGGGAGGCAGCAGUAGGGAAUCUUCCGCAAUGGACGCAAGUCUGACGGAGCAACGCCGCGUGAGUGAAGAAGGUCUUCGGAUCGUAAAGCUCUGUUGUUAGAGAAGAACAGCGCAUAGAGUAACUGUUAUGCGUGUGAC
Molecule: ribosomal RNA, 467 nt
Filed under: Abiotrophia defectiva
Lineage: Bacteria; Bacillati; Bacillota; Bacilli; Lactobacillales; Aerococcaceae
Description: bacterial SSU rRNA
Rfam family: Bacterial small subunit ribosomal RNA
Source: RNAcentral